This 511-nucleotide ribosomal RNA is filed under the name uncultured bacterium. Its description in RNAcentral is "bacterial SSU rRNA". It matches the Rfam family "Bacterial small subunit ribosomal RNA", at positions 34 to 518 of the family's 1533-position model. The record is from RNAcentral.
CGCUGGCGGCGUGCCUAAUACAUGCAAGUCGAACGGCUUUUCUAUGGAAGCUUGCUUCCACUGAGAAGAUAGUGGCGAACGGGUGAGUAACACGUGGGUAACCUGCCCAUAAGAGGGGGAUAACAUCCGGAAACGGGUGCUAAUACCGCAUAGUUUUCUUGAUCGCAUGAUUGAGAAAGGAAAGACGGCCUUUGUGCUGUCGCUUAUGGAUGGACCCGCGGCGUAUUAGUUAGUUGGUGAGGUAAUGGCUCACCAAGACGAUGAUACGUAGCCGACCUGAGAGGGUGAUCGGCCACAUUGGGACUGAGACACGGCCCAAACUCCUACGGGAGGCAGCAGUAGGGAAUCUUCCGCAAUGGACGAAAGUCUGACGGAGCAACGCCGCGUGAGUGAAGAAAGGUUUUCGGAUCGUAAAACUCUGUUGUCAGAGAAGAACAAGUUGGAGAGUAACUGCUCCAGCCUUGACGGUAUCUGACCAGAAAGCCACGGCUAACUACGUGCCAGCCGCCGC